UUCUUUACUCUUCUGUUCAACAGUGGCUUGAUAUGCAAAGAACAAGUGCUCCUCCUUGUCUUCUGUAUAAUUGGCCUGUUGGUUCUUGUUUUUGAACCGACAGUCCUUCUCUACAUGGCCAAACUUCUUGCAGUAUGUGCACUGAGGCUUUCCACGAAUGAAAACAGUCCUUUUCCAAAUGAUUGGUCUUCUUGCAGACACCACAAGGUGGAAAUUCUCCUUUUGAAGUUCCCUUUUUCUGAGAACAUUCUCCUCCUUUUGGUGUGCUUUUGGACUUCUUCUUGAAAUCUUUUUGUUUCUGGUUUUUCAGAUUAACUUUCAGCUGGAAUGCAUUUUCUAGAGAG
Molecule: long non-coding RNA, 344 nt
Filed under: Phoenix dactylifera (date palm)
Lineage: Eukaryota; Viridiplantae; Streptophyta; Magnoliopsida; Arecales; Arecaceae
Description: long non-coding RNA (PDAC_LNC020863)
Source: RNAcentral